RNAcentral lists this ribosomal RNA (368 nucleotides) under Bifidobacterium breve. RNAcentral's name for it is "partial 23S ribosomal RNA". It matches the Rfam family "Bacterial large subunit ribosomal RNA", at positions 455 to 824 of the family's 2925-position model. Lineage: Bacteria; Bacillati; Actinomycetota; Actinomycetes; Bifidobacteriales; Bifidobacteriaceae. The record is from RNAcentral.
GUGGGAUAAGCCUAAAUAUUCCUGUCUGACCGAUAGCGAACGAGUACCGUGAGGGAAAGGUGAAAAGUACCCCGGGAGGGGAGUGAAACAGUCUCUGAAACCAUGCGCCUACGAACCGUCGGGGCCCUCUUGUGGGGUGACGGCGUGCCUAUCGAAAAAUGAGUCUGCGAGUCAGUGGCAUGUGGCGAGCAUAACCCGUGUGGGGUAUGCGUAGCGAAGGCGAGUCUUAAAAGGCGUUUAAAGUCGCGUGUCCUGGACCCGAAGCGGGAUGAUCUAGCCCUGAGCAGGUUGAAGCGCGGGUAAGACCGUGUGGAGGACCGAACCCACCUGGGUUGAAAACCGGGGGGAUGACUUGGGGCUAGGGGUGA